Molecule: ribosomal RNA, 240 nt
Filed under: Triticum aestivum (bread wheat)
Lineage: Eukaryota; Viridiplantae; Streptophyta; Magnoliopsida; Poales; Poaceae
Description: partial small subunit ribosomal RNA
Source: RNAcentral
AUGGUCAAGUGAGCUGACAUCUGUCGGCCGAAAGAUCAAGGUGGCUUGGGCAUCGUGGCCUCCCGGCGUAUGAACGUCGCCUUGAUGUUGCGAUGGGUUCGGCGGAUAAUGCGUGGGGAGGGCGGGCUAUGCUCAUUCAGGCAAAAUAUCUUAGGAGUGAGCCUCUAUUGGCAUGUUCUCGGACAGGAUGAUCGCAUUUUUGGCGAGCCAUCCAAAAGAUCAAGGAGGAAAUCCGCCUAG